This 366-nucleotide ribosomal RNA is filed under the name Triticum aestivum (bread wheat). Its description in RNAcentral is "partial small subunit ribosomal RNA". The record is from RNAcentral. Lineage: Eukaryota; Viridiplantae; Streptophyta; Magnoliopsida; Poales; Poaceae.
AUGUAUCACGCGCGAAAAAUAUAUCUUCUAGAUGAGUAUGUAUACCAUGUAUUUCAUAUGCGUACAUAUGCAUUUGUUAAGUCUUACAAUCGGUUUCUUUGGAAACUCUUCAACAUAAAUGAACCAGAAAUCCAGGUUGUCUGCCUCGCAUUUUAUGGUGUAAAAAUGGUAGACCAAACGGAAAAACCAGUCAUCUCUUUUGUGUUGUCUAUAGAACAUUUCAAUGGAUCUUCUGUAUAUCACCAAAACAAAAUAAAUGUCCUCCUUUUAAGUGUUCAUUCCAUAUACAGGAGCCAAAACGCGUCUUUCUACAGAAACAUAGAUACAUGGUCCCUUCUAAAUAUUCCUUGGAAUAUUUUAGUUUGA